RNAcentral lists this transfer RNA (71 nucleotides) under Marmota monax (woodchuck). Its description in RNAcentral is "tRNA.Ala". It matches the Rfam family "tRNA". Rfam says of the family: Transfer RNA (tRNA) molecules are approximately 80 nucleotides in length. Their secondary structure includes four short double-helical elements and three loops (D, anti-codon, and T loops). The record is from RNAcentral. Lineage: Eukaryota; Metazoa; Chordata; Mammalia; Rodentia; Sciuridae.
GGGGUCGUAGCUCAGUGGUAGAGCACUUGCCUAGCAUGUGUGAGGCCCUGGGUUUGAUCCCCAGCACCACA